CAGAAUGUAGCUUAAUAGAAAAGUAUCUCCCUUACACUGAGAUGAA
RNAcentral lists this transfer RNA (46 nucleotides) under Polypterus bichir bichir. RNAcentral describes it as "partial tRNA-Val". The record is from RNAcentral. Lineage: Eukaryota; Metazoa; Chordata; Cladistia; Polypteriformes; Polypteridae. RNAcentral also lists the same sequence under 4 other names.